UACGUAGGGUGCGAGCGUUGUCCGGAAUUACUGGGCGUAAAGAGCUCGUAGGUGGUUUGUCGCGUUGUUCGUGAAAACUCACAACUCAACUGUGGGCUUGCGGUCGAUACGGGCAUCACUGGAGUUCGGCAGGGGAGACUGGAAUUCCUGGUGUAGCGGUGAAAUGCGCAGAUAUCAGGAGGAACACCGGUGGCGAAGGCGGGUCUCUGGGCCGAUACUGACGCUGAGGAGCGAAAGCGUGGGGAGCGAACAGG
This 254-nucleotide ribosomal RNA is filed under the name uncultured bacterium. RNAcentral's name for it is "partial 16S ribosomal RNA". It matches the Rfam family "Bacterial small subunit ribosomal RNA", at positions 524 to 776 of the family's 1533-position model. The record is from RNAcentral.